This 468-nucleotide ribosomal RNA is filed under the name uncultured bacterium. RNAcentral describes it as "partial 16S ribosomal RNA". It matches the Rfam family "Bacterial small subunit ribosomal RNA", at positions 28 to 507 of the family's 1533-position model. The record is from RNAcentral.
GACGAACGCUGGCGGCGUGCUUAACACAUGCAAGUCGAACGGAAAGGCCCUGCUUUUGUGGGGUGCUCGAGUGGCGAACGGGUGAGUAACACGUGAGUAACCUGCCCUUGACUUUGGGAUAACUUCAGGAAACUGGGGCUAAUACCGGAUAGGAGCUCCUGCUGCAUGGUGGGGGUUGGAAAGUUUCGGCGGUUGGGGAUGGACUCGCGGCUUAUCAGCUUGUUGGUGGGGUAGUGGCUUACCAAGGCUUUGACGGGUAGCCGGCCUGAGAGGGUGACCGGCCACAUUGGGACUGAGAUACGGCCCAGACUCCUACGGGAGGCAGCAGUGGGGAAUAUUGCGCAAUGGGCGGAAGCCUGAGGCAGCAACGCCGCGUGCGGGAUGACGGCCUUCGGGUUGUAAACCGCUUUCGCCGGUGACGAAGCGUGAGUGACGGUAAUGGGUAAAGAAGCACCGGCUAACUACGUG